UUGAACUUUUCGUAGUGAACAUGCAUCGGAUGCACUCGGUCAAUCAGUAGAUUUGAUAUCUUUGAACCGUCGAGCUUUAAUUUACACCUAGACAACACAUGUCACACAACCAGUCUUUUACCGUUUAUGGUUCUCACUAUGUUGUUCGUUUCAGCCAUGAAUAUGUUUCGGUCUCAUGGGAGCUUAAAGAAUAGACCUUUACUAACAUUCUCCUUGAAGCGGCGUCCACUUCACUCUCACAUAGGUUAUUUAUAAAUGUUCAAUCCUAUAGAUUAAAUUAUUUGGUCAAAUCUAUCAAAUUUAGAUAAUCAUUAAAAGACUUCACACCAUAAGUCUUAUCCUUGUUUAUUAAACAUUGUAUACAUCAUAAGAAUGGGUUGGGUGUAUUGACAAUGUUGAACCUGUCAGACGCAACUUUGUUUGAUCUCCUUGAACCUAGCUCUUAGGAUCUCCAGUCUGCUAGGUAGAGUUACUGGUAUGCUGACUUGUCCUAGGUCGUAAACCCAUUACCUUGGAUGUUCUCUUAAAUCCUUCUCUAGAUAGGCCUUUUGUAAGUGGAUUCGACACAUUAUCCCUUGACUUCACAUAGUCAAUAGUGAUAAUUUCACUAGAGAGAAGUUCUCUAAUGGUAUUAUGUCUUUAUCUUAUGUGAUGAGAUUUAUCAUUAUACAUCAUGCUCCCUGCCCUACCUAUCGCAUCUUGACUAUCACAGUGUAUACUUACUGGUGCCAAUGGUUUGGCCCAAUAAGGAAUAUCUUCCAAGAAAUUCCGAAGCAUUUCUGCUUCUUCAUUGGCUUUAUCCAAUGCGAUAAACUCAGAUUCUAUUGUGGAGCAAGAAAUACAUAUCUGUUUAGAUGAUUUUCAAGAGACUGCUCCUCCACCUAUAGUAAAUACAUAUCCACUCGUGGAUUUUACUUCAUUAGAUCCGAUGAUUCAAUUUGCAUAACUAUAUCCUUCAAGUACCAUGGAUAUUUAUUAUAAUGCAAAACAUAGUCUUGAGUGUAUUUAAGAUACCGACUCAACUUACUAAUAGCAUAUGCUAUGUCUGGUUAUGUACAAUUCAUUAUAUACAUUAAACAUCCCAACACUCUUGCGUACUCCAAUUGUGAGUCACUUUCACCUUCAUUCUUUUGAAGUGCAAAACUCAUAUCCAAUGGAGUCUUGGCAAUACCAAAUUUCAAAUCCUUGAAUUUGCCAAAUACCUUUUCAAUGUAAUGAGACUAUGACAAUGCCAACCCUUGUGGAGUUUUAUGGAUUCUUAUUCCUGAUCACAUCCACAACUCUAAGGUCUUUCAUAUCAAACUUGCUCUCAAGCAUUUGUUUCGUAGCAUUUCUGUCAGAAAUGUCUCUACUGAUGAUCAACAUAUCAUCCAUGUACACACCAAAUAAUGACCUGGUGAUUUAGAGUGUCUUUAAUGUAAACACAUUUAUCACAUUUAUUUAUCUUGAACCUGUUUGCCAACAUGGUUUGGUUAAACUUCGCAUGCCACUGAUUAUAUGCUUGUUUUAGUCCAUAAAAUGACUUAACAAGUUUACACACCUUAUUUUCUUUUCUUGGAACCAUAAAACCCUCAGGUUGUUCCAUGUAAAUUUCUUCCUCUAAUUCUCCAUUUAGGAAUGCUAUUUUCAUAUCCAUUUUAUAGAUUUCAAGACCAUGUACUGUCGCCAAGGCAAUUAACAUCCGAAUUAACGUUAUCCUCAUUACAGGAAAGUAUGUAUUAAAGUAAUCAAGACCUUUCUUUUUUUUAAAGCCUUUUACUAUAAGUCUUGACUUGUAUUUGUCAAUAGUACCAUCCACUUUCAUUUUUCUUUUGAAGAUUCAUUUAGAACCUAAAGGUUUAUUUCCUGGAGAAAGAUCAACCAACUCCCACGUAUGGUUGCUUAAGAUUGAAUCAAUCUCACUAUUGACUGCCUCUUUUCAAAAAAAUGAGUCUGAAGACAUCAUCGCUUCUUUCAAUAUUUAAGGCUUAUUUUCUAAGAGAAUUAUUAUAAAAUCUGAUCCAAAGUAAGUUGACAUUAUUUGACGUGUACUACAUCUUGGAUUUUCAUCAUUAUGUACAUCCUCACUUGGUUCAUCUCGAGGUCAUUUAGACCCCCAAUAGAUUGUCCAUGUCUAGUUUUAUACGGAUAAAUGUGUUCAAAGAAUUCAGUAUUAUCAUAUUCAAUUACCGUAUUUUCAUUGAUAUCCAAUGUUUGAAUUUAUGAACUAAAAAUUGACAUACUUUACUACUUUUAGCAUAUCCUACGAACACGCAGUCUACCGUCUUAGGUCUUAUCUUUAUUCGUUUAGGUAUAGGAACUUGGACCUUCACUACACACCCCCAUACUUUGAAAUAUUUCAAGUUGGGUUUUCUUCCUUUUUCAUUUUUCAUAUGUAAUUGAUUGUGUCUUACUAUGGGGCAUUGUAUUGAGUAUUCAGUUAGUUGUAAGGAUAGUUUUCCUUCCCCCCACAAGUUUUGUGGUAAACCUAAACUUAUUAGUGAGACAUUCAUUAUUUGUCCAUUAUUAGUAUUUGAGGUGAAUACAGAACCGUAGUUUGAUGGAUAAUUCCAUUCUCUACACAUAUUUCCGCAAAGGGAGAUUCAUAUUCUCCGCCCCUAUCACUUCUUAUCAUUUUGAUCUUUUUCUCUAACUGAUUUUCAACUUCUGUUUUAUAUUGCCUAAACACAUCUAUUGCUUCAUCCUUACUAUUUAGCAAAUAGACAUAACAGUAUCUAGUGCAAUCGUCAAUAAAAGUUAUGAAAUACUUUUUUCCAACACGAGAUGGUAUUGACUUCACAUCACAAAUGUCAAUGUGGGUAAAGUCUAAGGGAUUGGAAUUCCAUUCAACGGAUUUAUACGGAUGCUUAGCAUACUUUGAUUCCAUACACAUUUGACAUUUUGAUUUAUUAAACUCAAAGUUUGGCAAAACUUCUAAGUUAAUAAGUUUUUGCAAUGUUUUGUAAUUGGCAUGUCCUAAUCGUUCAUGCCACAAAUCAUUAGAUUUAAGCAAGUAAGAAGAAACUAAACUUUCAUUGAUUUCAAUAUUCAUUACAUUCAUUUUGAAUAGGCCCUCAGUGAGGUAGCCUUUUCUUACGUACACUUCUCUUUUAUUAAGUACAAUUUUUUCAAAAAUAAAUGCACAUUUGAAUUCGUUUUUAUCAUAAAGUGAUAUAGAAAUUAAGUUAUUUCGUAACUUCGGUACAUAUAGGACAUUGUUCAAAGUCAACACUUUUCCUGAACUUAUUUUCAAACAUACUUUUCCUGUUUCUUCAACUUUUGCAGUUGCAGAGUUUGCCAUGUAAAUCUUCUUUUUGCCUUGAGCCGGAGUGAACGUAGCAAACAACUCCUUAUUUGCACAAACAUCGUGGGUGGCACCGGAAUCCAACCACCAUUGUCGAGGAUUUCCCACAAAGUUUCAUUCAAAUAGCAUAGUACACAGAUCGUCCAUUUCUUUCUUGGAUUCAGCCAUAUCUACUUGGUCCUUCUUUUUACCUUUAUUUGGGGCACGACAAUCUGUUUACUUUUGGCCAAUGUUUCCACAAUUAAAGCAUUUACCCUUGAAUUUCUUCUUAGGUUGAUUGCUUUCUUGUUCAGUUUUUUUUUCACUUUUUGAGUUGUUGUGGCCAUCUUCUACAAUAUUUGCUCCAUUCAUUGCUGAAUUUCCUCUCGACCUUCUUUCUGUAGUUUUGUUGUCUUUUUCAAUCCGCAGUCUCACUAUGAGAUCUUCAACUAUCAUUUCCUUUCGUUUAUGUUUUAAGUAGUUCUUGAAGUCCUUCCACAUAGGUGGCAACUUCUCUAUUAUUGUCGCGACUUGAAACGCCUCGUUCACGACCAAACUUACAAUAAAGUUUAUGUGAACAUUAAGAAUAUUUUUAACAUGUUUAACUAAGGUAUUUACCAAACUCAUACCCUCCGCAAGGAGAUCAUGGAUGAUAACUUGCAGUUCCUGUACUUGGGAUACAACAGACUUGCUGUCAAUUAUUUUAUACUAAAGGAAUCUUGCAAUGAAGAACUUUUUGGUUCUAGCAUCCUCAGUCUUGUAUUUUCUUUCUAGUGCACCCCACAAUUCUUUUGUCGUCUUCACUCCGCUAUACACGUUGUAUAGGUAAUCUUGGAGGACACUUAGAAUGUAAUUCCUACAUAGGAAAUUAGAGUGUUUCCAUGCCUCCAUAACGACAAAUCGUACCUGGUCAGAAGUUUUCUUAGGCAACUCUGGAGCUUCUUCAGAUGUAAAUCUUUAAAGGCAUAACGUUGUAAGGUAGAAGAACAUCUUCUAUUGCCACCUUUUAAAGUCAACACCCGUGAAUUUUUUGGGUUUCUCCGCUGGUACUAUUGCCUAUAGAGCACUCGAACAACUCAUUGUGGCAACAUUAGUUGCUGCCAUAGUCGUUGCAGCAUCAUUCACAUGACUGUCAGUAGUCAUUUUUCUGUCACAAAAAGAUAGUAAAUUUUUGUAUAUCGAAAUACUACUUAUAAAGUUGUAACAACCUUCAACACCCCUUGUUUCAAGUUUAACGAUGAGGUUUUUAUGACUUCCAAUCGUUAAUCGAAUGACCUUUAACUUUGAUGAAGUCUUUAUAUCUCUAAAUCACUUGUUAAGUUGAAACGGAGUAGAAAGAGUAAAGCUUUAAUCUUCCGAAACCAAACAAUACAUAUUCUAAAACUUAUUUCCUUAAUAUUGUUGUUUUGGGUACGUAAAUUCUGUAUUUUGGCAAAACUACUUCAAUACAAGUUCAAGAAUAAAUCAAGAACACUUAUGAAGUUUUCCAAUAGCUUCAACACAAGAUCAAAAUGAUCUUUCAAAGAAGUUUGUUUUCAGUUUUUUUUAAAAGAAAAAUAGAUGAAGUAGAAAAAGUCAAGUCCUCCAAAUUCACGGAGUGUCCUUAAGGAAUAAUUUUUCUCAAGUACCUGAGGUUGUGAAAUUUUCCUUCCAGGAUAAAAUGGCUUAACGAUCCGACAGUAGUGGUACCUCAAACGGUUAAAUUCUCUUCGAACUCACUCAACGGGAGAUGAUCACACAGAGUUUUUCAGAAGACAAGAAGUGUUUUUUAUUCAGAAAUUUUUGUUACAAAACCUGUUGAAAAAUACAAGUUUAUAUAGCCAUUAAGUGCCUCUUCCGUAAAGAGGCAAUGGUUCAUUCGAAAAGGUGUAUCCUUUGGAGCAGUCAUGUUUGUCCAUUAGAAACAUUUCGUCUGCUUAUGAACAAUCACAACCAUCUGAACAAACAUUCUUUUUCCCAAAACAGUGUGCCUUUUUACCCGAAGAGGUGUGUCUCUUCGAAGCAACAUUCAGUGUUUCUGCAUGCAGAAGCAUGCACGCAUGGGAGUAAGUGUUUCUUAAUAUAAACACUUGAAAUUUUCAUUCUCCCACCAAUGGGACAAUUAGUAGACUUUCCUAUUUUUUUUAGUACACUUUUCAUUUUGAGUGUUAUCUCAAUUUUUUCGCUCCACUUGGUUCACUCCAUAUUCCAUUCACACUUUUAAUCUUGAACUCAAUAAUUUUCUGUAAGGCAUCAUUUAUUGAGAUAUUUUUUCAUGUUUAAUUAUGAAAUGUUAUUUUAUAGAGCACACAAUAUAACAUAACAUAAAAUACAAAAUUGAUUUCAACGAAAAAAAUGAUCAUUGUAGUGAAAUAUUGUUAUAAAAAAUAAAUAUUAUAGUAAAAGUCUUAUUGUGCAAGAUACUCCUCUAGAACGUAGGGAAAAACUUUUUCAUACCUAGUGCUUACACCAAGCCAAUAUAUGCAUGUCAUGUAUUUGAAUAUAAUGUCUUAAUUAACAUAUUUAUUUUACUUUAUUAAUCACUUUUACCCAGAAUAUAUAGUUUAAAAGUUCUUCUGAUCUUUUUCAUGUCUUGAUUCGUUAGUUUUACUUAUUAGGGUCUAGUAACCUCUAAAAAAGGGUCUAAUAGGAAAACAAUUUUCAAUAGAACGCUUGCUGAUCAUGUGCAAACUAACUGCUGAGAAGAGCGGGAAAAGCACUGUAGUGUGAUUACUCUAGCAACUCACCUAUCGAUCGUUGGUGGCUGAAACCUCUAUUAAGAGUAGACAAAUCUGGACUAUCCUCUCACACUUUCAAAUAGUAGUGGAGUAAGAAUUCUCACUAAGCAUAAUACAUAAACAUGUCUUUUAAUUUGAUCUCAGCUUGCAUCUAUGACCUCCAACUUUGGAUGUGCACAAGUAGACACUUAAACUUACGUAAAGUUAAACAAGUAGACACAUACGUCCUAUUUGGCAUAAUACAGGUAGGGCAUCAUGUAGGAAAUGAAUUGACCACGUCGGAUGCCACAUAGGACGCAUGUGCCUACUUGUUCAACUUUAUAUAAGUUUAAGUAUUUAUUUGUACACAACCAAAGUUGGAGAGUAUAGAUAAAAAUUUAAUCCAAGUAAAAGGACAUAUUUAUGUGUUAUGACUUUUUACUAUUGAGGCUAAAAAUAUGAUAAGUAAACACAUGAAGAAACUGAAGGGGGAUCAAUAUCUAUUAUAUAUAUAUAUAAAAUAAUUUUUAACCUUAUAUAAACAGUAUACUUUCCCCAUUGAAAGGAGUUUGGAAUGACUUCUUGACCCUACCUAGCUCCGCCCCUGCAUCUCGAUUGAUGGCGACUGAUCACCAUAUACUCCCUACGUCCAUUUUUAUUUUUUACUUGUCACAUUUUAACUUGACACUCAUUAAGAAAAUAAUGAUUGACAUGACUAUUUUAUCACAUAUGUUAAUUGAUGUUAAAGUUGUUGGGUUCAAGUUGAAUGUGUGAAUAAAAAAUGGAGGAAAUUAGUAGAGGGAAAGUGAGAUCACAGCUAAAAGAAAAGUGUGCUCACAAUAAGGAAAGUCUAUACUAAUUCUCCCACAUUGGUGGGAGAAAGAAACUUUCAUGUAUUCUUAUUAAGAAACACAACUCCACGUGGAUAGUGACGCAAGAACCAAGAGGUACCUCACGCCAUCAUCAUCGUCGCUCGGCUCCGCUUCGGCUUUGGCUUCAGAUUUGUCAAAUGAUUAAUGAGAUUAUUUUUUUUAGGAAAAAAUUAUUUAAAACUUGGAAAAAUAAUUGGAAUUUAUUAAGCCAAAAAAUCCACAGAAAAAAUUGAAAAAUAUUUUUUCCUCCAUAAAAUGCCACGCAGAUGCAUGCAGAAACACAGAAACAUUACUUGAAAGGGACGCAACCCUUCAAGAAAAUGACACACUAUUUCGAAAAAGGGGUGAAUGUUUGAUCGGAUGUGACUGUUCAGAAAAGACAUAAUAUUUUGAAUAGACAGACAUGACAAUUCCAAAGGGAUACACCUUUCAGAUGAACCAUUGCUUCCUUUUAUAAGAGACACUUGAUGGCUAUAAAAUAUCUGCAUUUUUUUCACAAGUAGCAACAAAAACUUUUAGAAUUGAAAACACUUUUCUACUUCCAUAAACUCAUUAUGAUCAAGCUGCUGUUGAGUGUGUUCGGCGAAUUCGAUAGUUUGAGGUACCGCAACUAUCGAAUUGUGAACCAUUUUAUUCCGGGAGGAAAAAUUCCAACACCUCGGGAACUUGGGGGAAUUAAUUUCUUAACGACACUCCGUGAUGUCGGAGGACUUGGUUCUUAUUCUGUUUCAUCUUAUUUUUUUUUACAUAACAUACUUCUUUGAUAGUUCUUGUUGAACUUGUAUUGAAGGUGUUAAAAACUUCAUUGUUAUUCUUGAAAAAUUUUUGAACUUGUGUUGAUGUUUAAUAUAUAAACAUACAGAUUGUGUACCCGAAAUAACAAUCUUAAGGAAUUAAAUAUGGUAAUCUGUAUUAUUUGGUUUCUGGAAAUUAAAACUUUAUGCUUUCUACUGUGGUUAAACUUAACAAGUGAUUUAAAGAAAUAAAAAACUUCAUCACAAGUUAAAGCUCAUUCGGUUAGCGAUUGGAAGACAUAAAAAUUUCAUCAUUAAACUAGAAACAAGAAUUGUUCAAAGUUGCAAUAAACUUGUAAUUAAUAUAUUGAUGUACUAAAUUUGGCUGUAUUUUUGUGAAAGGAAAUUAUGACUACUGAUGGUCAUGUAACUGAAGAUGUGACAACUGUGGAAGCAACGAAUGUUGCAAUAAUUGAUCGUACAACUGCGCUACCCGCUAUGACACUAGCGGAAAAGCCUGAAAAAUUUUCUAGAAUAGAUUUUAAGCGAUGGCAACAGAAGAUGUUCUUCUAUCUGAAAACCUUGUGUCUUCAAAGAUUUAUAUCUGAAGAUACUCCAGAAGCUCCCGAAGAAACUUCGGACAAGGAGGGGUUCAUUGUAAUAGAGGCAUGGAAACAUUUCGAUUUCCUAUGUAGGAAUUAUAUCCUAAGUGUCCUCUAAGAUGAUUUAUAUAACGUUUACAAUGGAAUGAAUACAUCAAAGGAGUUUUGGAAUGCGCUGAAAAAGAAAUAUAAGAUUGAGAAUACUUGAACUAAGAAGUUAUUUGUUGCAAGAUUCCAUGAGUACAAAAUGAUUGACAGUAAAACUGUCAUAUCUCAAGUACAAGAACUGCAAGUCAUCAUCCAGAUAUCCUUUCUGAAGGUAUGAAUUUAGUGAUUACCUUAUUUGAGAAUGUUAAAAAUAUUCUUAAUGAUCACAUGAACUUUAUUGUAGGUUUGGUUGUGAAUGAGGCAUUUCAAGUUGCUACAAUAAUAAAGAAGUUUCCACCUUUAUGGAAGGACUUCAAGAAUUACUUAAAACACAAGCAAAAGGAAAUGACAGUCAAAGACCUCGUUGUGAGGUUGCACAUCAAGAAAGACAACAAAACCGUAGAAAGGAGGUCAAAAGAAAAUUCUGUAAUUAGUGGAGCUAACAUUGUAGAAGACGAUUCCAAUGACUCAAAGAAGCGGAAGAAAACUGACAAGAAAGCAAUCAACCAAAGAAGAAAUUCAAGGGAAAAUGCUUUAAUUGUUGAAAGAUUGGCCUCAAGUCAAUAGAUUGUCAUGCCCCAAAGAAAGGCAAAAAGAAGGAUCAAUCCAAUAUGGCUGAAUCCAAGAAUGAAAUAGGCGAUCUAUGUGCCAUGAUUUCUAAAUGUAACUUGGUAGGAAAUCCAAGAGAAUGAUGGAUGGAUUUCGGUGCCACCUGCCAUCUUUGUGCCAAUAAAGAGUUGUUUGAUGUGUUUUCUCCAGCUCAAGGCAAAGAGAAGAUUUAUAUGGCAAACUCCACAACUACAAAAUUUAAAGGGACAGGAAAAGUCUACUUAAAAAUGACGUCAAGUAAAGUUUUAACUCUCAACAAUGUCCUUUAUGUACCAAAGUUAAGAAAGAACUUAAUUUCAGUAUCACUUGUUGACAAAAAUAGAUUCAAAUAUGUAUUUAUUUCUGGAAAGAUUGUAGUUAGUAAAGGAGAAGUGUACAUAGAAAAAGCAUACCUCACUGAGGACCUUUUUAAGAUGAAUGUAAUGACAGUUGAAAUCAAUAAAAGUUUUGUUUCUUUUUACUUGCUUGAGUCUAAUGAAUUGUGGCAUGAAAGAUUAGGACAUGUCAAUUAUAAAACAUUGUAAAAACUGAUUAACUUAGAAGUUUUGCCAAAUUAUGAGUACAAUAAAUCAAAAUGUCAAACGUGUGUGGAAGAAAAGUAUGCUAAGCAUCCGUAUAAGUCUUUCGAAAGGAAUUCUAAUCCCUUAGACUUAAUCCACACUGACAUUUGUGAUAUGAAGUCAACACCAUCUCGUGGUUAAAAAAGUAUUUUAUAACUUUUAUUGACGAUUGCAUUAGGUAUUGUUAUGUCUAUUUUCUAAACAUAAGAAUGAAGCAAUAGAUGCGUUUAGAUAAUAUAAAACAAAAGUUAAAAAUUAGUUAGAGAAAAAGAUCAAAAUGAUAAAAAGUGAUAGGGGUGGAGAAUAUGAAUCUCCAUUUGCGAAAAUAUGUGUAGAAAAUGGAAUUGUCCAUCAAACUACUACCCCGUAUUCACCUCAAUCUAAUAAAAUUAUGAAAAGAAAAAAUUGAACCCUAAAGAAAAUAAUGAAUGCCUUACUAAUAAGUUUAGGUUUACCGCAAAACUUAUGGGGGAAAGCUAUCCUUACAGCUAACUGAAUACUCAAUAGAGUGCCCCAUAGUAAGACACAAUGAAAUUCAUAUGAAAAAUGAAAAGGAAGGAUACCCAACUUUAAAUAUUUUAAAGUAUGGGGGUGUCUAGCGCAAGUUCAAAUUUUUAUGCCUAAAAGGGUGAAAAUAAGACCUUAGACAGUGGACUGCAUGUUCAUAGAAUACGAUAAAAAUAGUAAAGCAUGUCGGCUUUUGGUUUACAAAUCCGAACAUCCGGAUAUCAAGGAAAAUACUAUAAUUGAAUUAGAUAAUGCUAAGUAUUUUGAACACAUUUAUCAGUAUAAAACUAGACAUGAAUAGUCUAGUGGAGGGUCUAAACAAUUUCGAGAUGAAUCAAGUGAGGAUGUACAUAAUAAUGAGAAUCCAAGACAUAGUACACCUCAAAGAACGUCAAUUUUGUUUGAAUUGGAUUUUGUAACAUUUCUCUUAGAAAAUAAGCCUCAAACAUUCAAAGAAACGAUGUCGCCUUCAGGCUCAUCCUUUUGGAAAGAGGCAGUCAAUAGUGAGAUUGACUCAAUCUUGAGCAACCAUACUUGGGAGUUGGUUAAUCUUCCUCCAGGAAAUAAACCUUUAGGUUCUAAAUGGAUCUUCCAAAGAAAAUCAAAAUGGAUGGUACUAUUGAAAAAUAAAAGGCAAGACUUAUAGUAAAAGGCUUCAAAUAGAAGGAAGGCCUUGAUUACUUUGAUACAUACUCGUCUGUAACAAGGAUAAUAUCAAUUCGGAUGUUAAUUUUCUUGACGGCGGUAUAUGGUCUUAAAAUUUAUCAAAUAGAUGUGAAAACAACAUUCCUAAAUGAAAAAUUGGAUAAAGAAAUUUACAUGAAACAACCCGAGGAUUUUGUGGUUAUUUUUAAAGAAAAGAAGGUGUGUAGACUUGUUAAGUCACUCUAUGGACUAAAACACGCACCUAAACGUUGGCAUGCGAAGUUUGACCAAACCAUGUUGGCAAACGGGUUCAAGAUAAAUGAAUGUGAUAAAUGUUUUUACAUUAAUGACACUCCAAAUCACAAGGUCAUUGUUUGUUUGUAUGUGGAUGAUAUGUUUAUCAUUAGUAUAGAUAUUUCUGACAUAAAUGCUAUGAAACAAAUGCUUAAAAGAAAGUUUGAUAUGAAAAACCUUAGAGCUGUGGAUGUGAUCUUAGGAAUAAAAAUCCAUAGAACUUCACAAGGGUUGGCGUUGUCACGGUCUCAUUACAUUGAGAAGGUACUUGAAAAAUUAAAGUAUUUGGAAUUUGGUAUUUCCAAGACUCCAUUGGACGUGAACUUUGGACUUUAAAAUAAUGAAGGUGAAAGUGACUCACAGUUAGAUUAUGUUAGAGUGUUGGGAUGUUUAAUGUAUAGCAUGAAUUGUACACGGCCUGACAUAACAUGUGUUAUUUGUAAGUUUAGUUGGUACAUGAGUAAUCCCAAUAAAACUCACUAGAUGGCAAUGAAAAGAGUUUUAAGGUAUCAUAGAUACACUCAAGAUGAUGCAUUGCAUUAUAAUAAAUAUCCUGCGGUAAUUGAAGGACAUAGUGAUGCAAAUUGAAUCAUCAGUGAUGAAAAUUGGAUCACCUAAUCAAAUAAAGUUAAAUCCACAAGAGGAUAUGUAUUUACUAUAGGUGGAGGAGUAUUCUCUUAGAAACCAUUCAAACAGACAUAUAUUGCUCGCUCUACAAUGUAAUCUGAAUUUAUCACAUUAGAUAAAGCCAGUGAAGAAGCAGCACGGCUCUAAAAUUUAUUGGAAAAUAUUCCUUAUUGGCCCAAACCAUUGGCACCAGUAUGUAUACACUAUGAUAGCCAAGCGGCGAUGUAAUACCCCAUAUAUUUCUAAGCUAGAAAAUGAAUCAUUGUUUCUACGCAUGAAACCUCCUAUACUGUGAUUCAUGUUUGAGUACAUGAAUUAGGAUAAGUAUCCUAGUGAUAAUAGAGCAUAUGAUGUGUUAAUCAUGUUCAUAAGAGUCACUUAGAUUAAGCCAAGCUAAGAACUUUUGAAUCCACCAAAUUUUUGUGUAUGAUUUCACAUAGGUCAUCUUUAAACAAGAAUAACUUGGUUUAUAGGUGGUAUUUUGGUAGAUUCAUACCUCUAAAUUGUAGAGAAUUGAAUAAGCUUUCCGUCGAUACCAAAUUCUCCUAAAAUGGACACUCGGUGAAGAAUUUAUGGCGAUUUAAAGUUUCAGCAAUGUUAUUUCAGUUAGUGGCAUGUCGCGCCAUAAGCCAAAAUGAUGUUUGUCAAUUUCCAGUGUUUCUCCCCGAUUCCACCGCGUUGUAGUGAGUUUUUAGGUCAUAAACAAGUGGCAACACAAUGUCUCCGCGUUGCGCCAGGGGCCCAAAUUGGGAAAUUUUUACAGAAAUUAAAAGACCCAUCUAGAGAGGUAUUUGGGUCAUCUUCCCACCCCUAUAUAAUCUCCCAAACACGGAAUUAAGCCAUUAUUUCACCAAAACAUACUCUUUUUCAUCAAAAUCCUAUCAAGAACACAUUAGUGUUUCAAUUGGGGGAUUUAAGUUCAAGAAAAUUCUACCACCAAAUUCCAAGAAUCUCUCCGUCAAUCUUUACUAAAUCAAGAACUAAGGUAUGCGUGUGUUCAUUCAUGGACUCCUUUCAUCCAUGAAGUCCAAGAACCCUAUUUUAAACUAUAUGCCAUGCUUAUUAUGUUUUGAUUUGAUUGUUGAUCUUGUUUAUGUGUUGAAUAAUGUGAAGAUAGAAUCUUUAUGAGUUUGUAUGAAACUAGGAUGGCAUGUUAGUUGAAAUAUAUGAACUUUGGGUGAUAUGGGUUGUUGAAUUCAUCAAUAAACCUAUGCCCAAAGUGGUGCAUGUAAGGUGUUUGAUAAAAUGCAUAGGAUGAUAGAAUUUAUGUCCCAUGUUUCAAUAGUGCUUAAAUGAUAAGUCCACGUUCUAUGCUUUAUGAUUUCACAUGAAUUUCACAUUAUUGUUAUGUGUUUUUGUUGUGAUAUGGAAUGAGCAUGAUAUUGAAGCUAUGCAAGUAUAUACAUAUUGUAUGCAUUCCAUUCCAUAUAUAAGAAGUUGAGCAUCAUGUAUAGUAUGAAAUCCCUUAUGAUAUUGUGAAUUUUAGACUCUACUCUUAUGAUCAAGUCAGUCAUGUGUGUUAGUUUUCUUCCAUCGAGUCCUAGGGGUACUUGUACCUGAAAAAUAUAGUUGUGUGUCUAGAGCCAUGUCAUGAUUUCAUGAUACUCUCAGUCAAUCCAUGUUCCAUAGAACUCAGUCAGUCAUGUGACUCAGGAAAAUUCAGUAACUCAGUUAAUCUCAGCUAAUCUCAGUAAUCUCAGUACUCAGUGAUAUCAGAAACUUCAGAAAUUUUAGUGUUCUCCGUAACUUCAGUAAUCUCCGUAAUUCAGUACUCUUAGAAAUUUCAAGAACUCAAUACUCAGUAAGAUUAGUGCUCUCAUAAACUCAGUUUAACUCUGCUAAACAAUCUCACUAAUAGCAAUUCAGUUAAUCAGUUCAGUUCAGCAAAUCAGUUCAAUGUCUUUCAGUUGGGAGUAGGAUUCAGUACCAAGUAAACCCAAGGAUGGGGACUCACCUGUCACAGUCAGAGGGUGUGAUUCCUAGAAACAAUCCUUGCAAUCCAGAACUACGUAGCUAGCGUAGGUUGAGAUGUCCCUACCCAUAGGGCUAAUGCAUCUCCUUUCAGUUUACCUAAUAGCAGGGCAGACAGAAUGAGCUCCAAAAUAGAAUAGGGUUUACUCAUAUAUUGUCUCUACCCGUGGCAUGGUAUUGACACCCUUCCAGUUGGGGUCACAGUUUUGACCCCAACCAGUUCAGUUCCGGGGCAUAUCGGUUAGAUGAUUACCUCUCACAGUCUCAGUUUCAGUAAUAGACUCAGAUAGUUCUUCAGAACAUCAAGGCUGUCAGAUACAGUUAACUUAGAUACAAUAUGGAACUCAGCUAGUUCCACCAUAUUCAGGACUGUAAUAUAUAGUCACUCAUGUUAUCAUUAUUACCAAUUCUCUAAACUCAUAUUACCAGUAUCUAUCUUCAUGACUGUCAGAUACGGUCAAGCAUAUCAGUUUCUCAUAUUCAUGGCUGCUAGAUACAGUCAAUCAGAUUAAUACUUUAUAAUUAGACUGUCAGAUACAGUUGACCAGAACAGUCCUUCAUAAUCAGGACUGUCAUACCCAGUUAUUUAUGUAUCAGUAACAUAGCACUAGUCCCUUAGUAUUUACAGUGUUAGUUCCUUACUUAUUAGUGCUUGUCAGUAAAGUCAUGAUGUCAGUAUUCAGAUUCAGUAGUCAGUAUCAUCAUGAGUUUAAUUAUAGUUUCUCAUGUAUAUAUGUAUUCUCACGUUCAUAUCAGUCAGCAUUGUUCAUGCAUAUAGCCCUUUGCAUUGAGCCUACCUCACUCGUAUACUCAGUAUAUUUAGUCGUACUGACGCAUUUGUGCUAUGGUGCUUCCUCUUAUGUUACACCAUAGGUUUAGAGGCAUGAGCUCCAAAUUAGCAAUAGAUUCCAGUAUCAGCUGUCAAAGUUAGAAGUAAGUCCUCAUAUUUCGAGGACACGAUGAUUUCAUUGCUAUUGCAGUUUUCAGUUUAUUUCAGUAGUUGGAGUUAGUUGGGGACAUGUUCCAUCAAAUCCUUAUUCAGACAGUUAGAGGCUUUCCAGACUAUAGUAUAUCAGACAGUUAUUUCAGAUUUAGUUUGGUAUUGUUAUACCAUUUUCAAAUAUUGUUCUUAUCAGAUGUUUAUUCAGUUGAACCUUAUGGCCAUUCAGUACAUGUUUCCGUAUUUUUAUAAUAUAUUAUGCAAUAUACAGGUACAGAUAUUAGUCAUGAUUUAGCUUGUGGUCCUUCGGGGUCAUAAGCACCGUGUAGCAUUCUGGUUCAGAAAAUUGGGGUGUUACAGGAGAUCGAUAGGGCAGGGAGCAUGGUGUAUAUCGGUAAAUCUCAUCAUAUAAGAUGGAGACAUAAUACCAUUAGAGAACUACUCUUUAAUGGAAUUAUCAUUGUUGACUAUGUAAAGUCAAAGGAUAAUAUGUCGGAUCCACUUACAAAUGGCCUAUCUAGAGAGAGAGUUAAGAGAACUUCAAAGGGAAUGGAUUACGGCCUAGGACAAGUCAGCAUGGCGGUAACUCUACCUAGAAAACUGGAGAUCCCAAGAGCUAGUUUCAAGGAACCUAAGGAUAUACUCAAUCCAUUCUCAUGAUGUAGAUAAUGUUUAGUAAAAAAGGAUAAGGAUUAUGGGGUGAAGCCUUUCAAUGAUUAUCUAAAUUUGGCAGAUCUGGCCAAAUAGUUUAAUCUAUAGGCCACGUUUAGAAAUCACCUAUGUGAGGGUAAAGUGGAAGUCGCUACAAGAAGAAUGUUAGUAAAGGCCUAUUCUCUACGCUCUCAUGAAAUGGCGUGUUCAUGGAUGAAACGAACAAAACUGUCAGAACCAUAAACGAUAAAAGGCUAAUUGUGUGACAUGUGUUAUCUAGGUGUACAUUAAAGCUCGACGGUUCAAAGAAAUCAAAUCUAUCGAUUGAUCGAGUGCAUCCGAUGCAUGUUCACUAUGGAAAGUUCAAAGGAAAACCUACUUAUCCAGAUGCAAUCAAUCUUUGCUUGCUGAUCACAUACUUUUCAUUCCCCAUUCAUGUAGGGGAUUGUUGGGUUCAAGUUGAAUGUGUUAAUGUAAAAUAGAGGGAAUUAGUGGAGGAAAAGUGUGAUCACACCUAAAAGAAAAAUGUGUUCGUAAUAAGGAAAUUCUACUAAUUCUCCCACAUUGGUGCGAGGAAGAAACUUUCAUGUGUUCUUAUUAAGAAACACAACUCCACAUGGAUAGUGAGACAUGAAACAAAAGGUGCCUCUCGUCUUCGUCGUUGCUCGCUCGGCUUCGGAUUUGGAUUUGGAUUGAAUUUGGAUUUGGAUUUGGAAAUUGAUCGAUUGAUGUAGAAACAUUACUCGGAAUGGAUGCAACCCUUCGAGGAAAUGACACAUUGUUUCGAAAAGGGGUGACUGUUCGAUCAGAUGUGACUGUUAAGAAAAAACACAAUGUUUCGAAUGGACAUACAUGACUGUUCCAAAGGAAUAAGCAAUUAAUACUAAAGAUAAAAGAUGAAAAAAAUAAUAAGUAAAUCUUGAGUUGGGGAUAAGUAAUUAAUACUAAAGAUAAGAUAAAAGAUGAAAAAAAUAAUAAGUAAAUCUUGAGUUGGGGAUAAGUAAUUAAUACUAAAGAUAAAACACGGAAAAAUUUGUUAAUAAUAACAAGUACGAAUAAAAAUUAAUUUUCAAAAUAAGUAACAAAGUAAAAAAAACAGAUACCAAAUAACUGUAUUUAAAAGAAAGUAAUGGGGCUAACAUGUUUUCAUCUAUUCAUAAUCAAAUUCAGAAUUUCGAGGUCUUUUACAAUUACGUGGGAAUUUUUCGGGAAGUUCAACUUAAAUUACAUGUUUUCAAAAGUCUGGCCAAUGAAUAAUUUAUAAGUUCCUUUCAUCUUUAUUAAUGGAGAUUAUAAAAAUGGCUAAUAAACCAAUUAACUAGUUUACACUUUUUAGUAUUUGAAGGACACCUUUGGAAUAGUUGAUAAAGUUGUUGCGUCAUGUGAUUAGAAAUUUUAGAAAUAACCUUUUAUAGAAAUGCAAAAUAUAAAAUUGUGUACCAUAAAUUCUUGUGAUCACGAUCUUCCUGAAACCCAACACAUAGAAGUUUAGUACAUCAAACUGCCCUUUUACCUUUUUUAGCAUCCAAUGAUAUGUACUAUUAACGUCAAAUACUUGCAUACAGACGGAAAUUUUAACAAUUAGGUUAGUUUCCUCACUGAAUUUCGUCUGUUCCUCAACAGGGAAUAUACCUAAGGAUGGGAAUAGAGUAGUAAGGGUGCAGGCUGGCAUAAGGGUUUAGACAUAAGCAGGUGCGGUGUGGACAUGUCAAAAUAAGAAAAUGUAACGGUCCGUACCGUCGAUACUAGAGGCAUCUCGUUUAAUGGCACGUUGUAUGGAUUUUUUUAUAAUGUAUCUUCGAAUUAGUUUCAUAAAAGACUUGGUUGAAAAUUUUUGAAAUUUGAAUUUUGGAGCCGGUUGAUGUCAUUCCACUAUAGCAAAAAUUUUUCUGUUAUAGCGGCACCGUGCUAGCAGCCUACGAUUGCUAUAGCGGGACACCAAGGAACAUAAUCAGUCAGUUUCUUUAUUUUUUUCUUUUCCUUUUCAGCUGCAAAUAGAACAAGGUUUCCUUUUAAAAACCCCUUAGGGUUACCUGAUAGCCUAAGAACAAUGGAGAAUAAGGGAUAUGCAUGAACGAGACAAAAUAUGUUAUUUUUUUUAUGUAAUCUAAUUUUGGUCAGCCGAUAAUACUUAUAGUACGUGUUGUUUGUACUGAUGCUACUCUUGCUAUACCCUUUUAGGGUAUAGUCUAUUUGCAGGAUCAGUUAAGGUUUCUUAUUUGUUGCGGUAGAGGUGUCUGCAACUUUGUCUCUUGGCUCUUACAGUGAAUGCUGAGUUAUUUAUGUUUUGAAUUGUUCUGUAGUAUCUCUUGUACCUUUCUAGACUAGGUCUUUGGAAAAGGUGUUUAUUUUCCUUGUAAUUUUGAGAAAUAAUAUUUGUUAGAUUUUGAGAUCUUUAAUAAAAUUAUUCAUAACUUCAUCAAUUAUUUUAAAUGAAUGGUAAAUAGAUAAGAAUAGAAGCCUGAACAGUUUAAUUAGUUGGAUCAUGACAGUUGGCAUUGGAGUAUAGGUUAUCUAUUUUUCAAUAUAAGAGCAAAUAUCGAGUAGAGUCCUACAGAUUGAUAUGUUGACGUCCACGUCAAAUCUUCAGAAAGCUAUGAGGCAUCUAGGAAACUAUUUUGCUUCUUUCUUCCACUUGUGCAAUCCAUAUGAUUAUUUGUAUAGGUUGAUUCCAGUUGAUAUAUCUCGAUUUCAAUUGCUAUCUCAAAUAAAAUAAAUUAAUGUCACGUGACUCCAUUUGGAAUGACACAAGCAACAAAACUGGAAUAAAAAAGGUUUCAAAUGGUAUUUGGACAUAAAGGUUGUGUGUAACUUCUGAAUGAUCAAUUAGUAGUAGUCAAGGAUGUAAUAAGGGACGUGAGUUGACAAUUAUGUCAAUCGCAACGGCUUGAAUGACUACGGAUUUGUUAUUAGUGAAGUAGUCGUAAGUAUUUAUGUGGUGUUGACGAAUUGCGUGUUGUGUGGUUUGAGUGGGAAAUUGGUUGCUGAGUGCUAAUCAUGGCAUUGAUGCAUAUUAAAGUGGUAGAGGAAAUGGUUAAUGGUUGUGUAGUUUCUUGCUUCAAAUGGUCGAUACAUAGAAAGCAAUGACAAUUAUUGAAUAGUAGUGGAGGUGGUUGUGAAAAUUAAUUGUAAUAAAAAAUCAUGGUAUAAAAAGUGGUGCUUCGCUUAAUUAAUUGUUUCUUUUGAUUUGAUGGGUUCGAUCUUGGGAUGGUUAUUUAAUUAUUAUGCGAUUUCAAAUUUAAUCAUUAUGCGAUUUGAAAUUUAAGUGUUGUGGAAGAGAAUAAGGGUGAUAGGAUUUGCAAAAAAAACUGGAAAAUAUUUUAGGCUACUGCUGUUGUGGUGCUAUAGAGGGUACUAUCUUGCUACUGUAGGCCCUUAUAUAUCGGGAAUACUCCUAUUAUAGUGUUGUCAUAGUAGUAGCAUGCGGGAUGCUUUAGCGGGAUGGACUGGGAUAGAAUCCUUGCCCCGUUUCCUCUAUUUAGUAUUUCAUUCCCAACCUACUCAAGACGUUAUUUAAAGCUACAAUCUACAAUAUGAUCAAUGAAAAUUGCAUAGUAUAAGAUAAAUAUCAUGCAUUCACCACUAGUUCAAUAAAAAUAAGCAUCGAUGUACAAAAUAAAAUAAAGAAAAGAAGGAAAAAUAUUGUUUGUAUGGGAGGUAGGCUGACAUACACUAGAGGACCUAGAUGGAUGCCCCCUCAUCUUCAUGGGUUGUGGGAUCGGAACAUUCUCCUGACAAAUCACUCAUGAAGGAUAACUCUUGCACGUCCUCUAGCUCCAGCGGGAGAAGCUCGUGGGACAUCACACUUGAUCAUGAUCUUGAUGAUCUUCCAUAUUUAGACAAACAUGUAAUUUUGAGUGUGACUCUUUCUCUUCUUGUGAUCUACCUUCCUGCGGAGUUCUUCAUAGUUCUGAGUAGUGAGAGGUGGGGCUAUGGAGCUAGAAGGGGUUAUACCCUCGGAAGGAAAGUGGACUUUCUCCAUAAAUCUCCUUAUGAUACCUAGGUCAUUCUGUAGGCAUCCACGAGAAAUUGGGAGCUAGAUAGGAGGGGUAUCAUCAUCAUCCUUCUCUGAUGCACUGCUUCUAUCAACCUCACCUACCUUUCACUUUUUCUCAGUCUAGGAUGAAACAACCUUCACCUUGAGGGGAUAGAAGGUUGUGUCCAUCUUGAGGUCUCUAUCAACAUCCUUCUUAGGCAACCCUACACGUUGGCACAACUUUGAAACUAGGUCGGGAAAGUAAGUGACUUUUUUGUUUCCAUAGUAAAAGUCCUUCCACUCUAUCACAAUUUGCACUCCUACGUUUACCUCCCUCGCAUGACACAGGCCACCAUUAGAGCCCGGGGUAAGUCAUGUCAGAAGUAUUUCCCAACGGAUAAAUCCUCUGGGUCACCAGGUUCUGCCACCCCCAAGCAUUUAUUGUAAAGUGAGUUCUCCUAAUCCCCCGGUACUAGGCCAAUAAACCUUGUCCCUAUUAGCCUCUACUAUUAACGUAUCCAUUAGCUACUAUAUGUUCAUCUCCUGGGCUUUGAUCAGGUACUCAGUAUUAGAGAUAUUUGGUUCUCCGAGAACCUCAUUGAUUAUAGCAGUUUUCACGAGGACAUCCACUUCCCCAAUGCAGAUAAUAGGGUUGGGUUGGUCUUAAAGCAUAGUUAGGAGAAUGACAUAGAACUCUCUAAUUGAGCCUGGGACUUCAUGUUAUUUUUCACAAUACGGGUACGUAGAAUCUGUAUAACAGAAUAACAACUUCAACUCGUGUUCAAGUAUGAACAAGAACACAAUGAAGUUUUAAAUACACUCAACACAAGAUCAAAAAGAUCUUUCAAAGAGGUGUAUUUAUCUUUCAGAAAAUAAAGAUGAAACAGAAAUUUUUAAGGCCAAGUCAUUCGAAUUCACAGACUUUCCUUAAGGAAUAAUUCCCCUCACUAUACCCGAGGUUAUGGAAUCUUUCUCCAAGGAUAAAAUGGCCUUCAAUCCGACCAUAGCGGUACCUCAAAUAGACGGAUUCUUCGAACACACUCACGGUUUGAAUGAUGACACUUAGAGUAUUUUUAAGACAAGAAGAAUGUUUUGUAAUCUGAAAAUUUCUGUAUUUUCUAUGUCAUAAACCUGUGGAUGAAACCAGGUUUAUAUAGCCACUAGAUGCUCCUUUGGAAAGGUGGCAUUGGUUCAUAAUAGAGGUGUGUGACUCUUCCUGAAAAUACAUGUUUAUUCACUUAAAACAAUGCAGUAUUUUUCUGAAACAGUGCACUGGUUCACUGAAACAGUGCACUAGUUCACUGAAACAGUGUGUAUUUUUUUUGAAGAGUUGCAACUUUCUGAAACUGUGCAAUAUUCUGUAACUGAAGCAACAAUAUGAAAUAGUGCAACCUUCUGUAACAGAAGAAAUAAUAUGAAACAGUACAACAGUUUCAAACAGACGCAAAACACUGUUACUGCGUGUAUAUAUAUAAAUGGAGGCCAAAAUAGUGCAGAAAAAAUUUACUGCAUUUUUCCUUGGCAUUCUUCAGAAUUCAAAUAAAUUUUGUCCAAAAAGAUAGAUCUCAUCGAUUGAUCAUUUGACAAAUCCAAAUCCAAAUCCGAAGCCGAAGCCGAGCCGAGCGAGCGACGACGACGACGCGAGGCAUCAUUUAUUUCCUUCCUCACUUGCCAUGUGGAGUAAGUGUUUCUCAUUAUAAACACUCUCAAGUUCUCUUCUUCCACUAAUGUGAGAGAAAGAGUAAACUUGCCAUUUUGGGAGUACACUUUCCAUUUUUAGUGUCUCCUUUCCUCCAUCCUUUUACUCUCCAUUUUUUCAUUCACACCCUUUUAUUACUAUGAACCCAACAAUCCCCCACAUGAAUGGGUAAUACUAUUUUUCGUACAACUUUUACAGACAAGUAUGUGAUCAUCAAGAAAAGACUGAUUCCAUCUAGAUAAGUGGGUUUCCCUUUGAACUUUUUGUAGUGAACAUGCAUCGGAUACACUCAGUCAAUCGGUAGAUUUGAUAUCUUUGAACCGUUGAGCUUUAAUGUACACCUAGACAACACAUGUCACACAAUCAGCCUUUUACCAUUUAUGGUUCUUACGGUUUUGUUCUUUUCAGCCAUGAACACGUCCUGGUUUUCACGAGAGCUUAGAGAAUAGGCCUUUACUAACAUUCUCUUUGAAGC
RNAcentral lists this long non-coding RNA (21267 nucleotides) under Capsicum annuum. Its description in RNAcentral is "long non-coding RNA (CANN_LNC015919)". Lineage: Eukaryota; Viridiplantae; Streptophyta; Magnoliopsida; Solanales; Solanaceae. The record is from RNAcentral.